Molecule: ribosomal RNA, 303 nt
Filed under: uncultured bacterium
Lineage: Bacteria
Description: partial 16S ribosomal RNA
Rfam family: Bacterial small subunit ribosomal RNA
Source: RNAcentral
AGCAGUCGCCGCGGGAAUACAGAGGGUACAAGCGUUAAUCGGAAUUACUGGGCGUAAAGCGCGCGUAGGUGGUUCGCCAAGUUGGAUGUGAAAUCCCCGGGCUCAACCUGGGAACUGCAUCCAAAACUGGCGAGCUAGAGUAUGGUAGAGGGUGGUGGAAUUUCCUGUGUAGCGGUGAAAUGCGUAGAUAUAGGAAGGAACAUCAGUGGCGAAGGCGACCACCUGGACUGAUACUGACACUGAGGUGCGAAAGCGUGGGGAGCAAACAGGAUUAGAUACCCGCGUAGUCCCUGUCUCUUAUAC